RNAcentral lists this long non-coding RNA (247 nucleotides) under Junco hyemalis (dark-eyed junco). RNAcentral describes it as "lncRNA (ENSJHYG00000008257.1)". The record is from RNAcentral. Lineage: Eukaryota; Metazoa; Chordata; Aves; Passeriformes; Passerellidae.
UAUCCAAUCCCUCAUUCCCGCUCUCCCGGCACGUCAUUCCCGUUAUUCCCGGUACCGUCGGAUCCGUCGUCGCGGGGCGGGGGCAGGUGGGGCACGCUCAGCGCCAGCAUCUCCCAGAGCGUGAGGCCGAAGGCGAAGACGUCGGCGCGGUCCGAGAUGGCCCCGCCCGGCUCCAGCGCCUCGGGCGGCGACCACGGCUCCGUGCCCACGUAGCACAGGGAGGGGUCACUCACUAAAACAGGGAGAA